Molecule: ribosomal RNA, 758 nt
Filed under: uncultured prokaryote
Description: bacterial SSU rRNA
Rfam family: Bacterial small subunit ribosomal RNA
Source: RNAcentral
GAUGAACGCUGACAGAAUGCUUAACACAUGCAAGUCGAUUCAAUUUACCUUCGGGUAUUGAGGAUGGCGGACGGGUGAGUAACGCGUAAGGAACUUGCCUCUUGGUCUGGGACAACUGUUGGAAAUGACAGCUAAUACCGGAUAUUAUGAGAUUCUCGCAUGGGAAACUUAUGAAAGCUAUAUGCGCCAAGAGAGAGCCUUGCGUUCCAUUAGCUAGUUGGUGGGGUAACGGCCCACCAAGGCGACGAUGGAUAGCCGGCCUGAGAGGGUGAACGGCCACAAGGGGACUGAGACACGGCCCUUACUCCUACGGGAGGCAGCAGUGGGGAAUAUUGGACAAUGGGCCACAAGCCUGAUCCAGCAAUUCUGUGUGCACGAUGAAGGUCUUCGGAUUGUAAAGUGCUUUCAGUUGGGAAGAAGAAAGUGACGGUACCAACAGAAGAAGCGACGGCUAAAUACGUGCCAGCAGCCGCGGUAAUACGUAUGUCGCAAGCGUUAUCCGGAUUUAUUGGGCGUAAAGCGCGUCUAGGCGGAAAAAUAAGUCUGAUGUUAAAAUGCGGGGCUCAACUCCGUAUUGCGUUGGAAACUGUUUUUCUAGAGUACUGGAGAGGUGGGCGGAACUACAAGUGUAGAGGUGAAAUUCNUAGAUAUUUGUAGGAAUGCCGAUGGAGAAGUCAGCUCACUGGACAGAUACUGACGCUAAAGCGCGAAAGCGUGGGGAGCAAACAGGAUUAGAUACCCNGGUAGUCCACGCCGUA